RNAcentral lists this long non-coding RNA (310 nucleotides) under Mytilus galloprovincialis (Mediterranean mussel). Lineage: Eukaryota; Metazoa; Mollusca; Bivalvia; Mytilida; Mytilidae. The record is from RNAcentral.
GUUGUUGUUUUUUUCAAAUGAUUUGGUACCGGGAAAUCGGUGGUCUUACUUAAUUUAAACCAUGUCAGCUAUGUAGUUUUGUCCACAGGCGCUUGGGUAUAUGAUACAUAUAUAUUUUUAUUUUUUGUUGUUGUUGAUCAAAAUAGUCAAUUUUCUAUAUUUAUAAUACAUAUGUAUCACUUUUGUGCAUGUCUCAGAGAAAAUACCCAAUUUUACAAUCCAUACUAAGAAAAAUUUGGGUAUUUUCUCUGAGUCGUUUAGAUCACUCGGAACUAGGUGAGACAUGCACAAAAGUGAUAUAUAUGCAUUA